AUUCCAGGAGAUGAUUCCAAAAGUGAAUUUUCCACACUGAAUGGAAUGAUAUCUCUGUAUUUGUGCAGCAUUCCACAUCUCGGAUUGGUUCCCCGUUGAGCAAGUCUCAUCCAUUUCUGGAUUUUAGCCCAACAACUUCCAGGUUUGUUGUAACCUGAGCAACUCGUCCAGUGCAUGAAAAAACUUGACUCUCUGUUGCCCUCUGAGUUGUCCACAGAGAAUACCAUCGCUGGGUUCUAAUAUUUAACCAUUUCAUGUUCAUUAUCAU
This 268-nucleotide long non-coding RNA is filed under the name Felis catus (domestic cat). RNAcentral's name for it is "lncRNA (ENSFCAG00000053025.1)". Lineage: Eukaryota; Metazoa; Chordata; Mammalia; Carnivora; Felidae. The record is from RNAcentral.